This is a long non-coding RNA of Amblyraja radiata (thorny skate), 85 nucleotides long. RefSeq lists it as uncharacterized. The record is from RefSeq and is a predicted model, not a curated record. The transcript has 3 exons. Lineage: Eukaryota; Metazoa; Chordata; Chondrichthyes; Rajiformes; Rajidae.
AUCAGCCGCGGAAGUCCCGAUGAGGUCGGGAUUGGCCGCCUCGCCCGGCAUGGAUGCCACAUUUUCGGGGGGCCUUCCAGAGGGG